RNAcentral lists this long non-coding RNA (231 nucleotides) under Capsicum annuum. RNAcentral's name for it is "long non-coding RNA (CANN_LNC015031)". Lineage: Eukaryota; Viridiplantae; Streptophyta; Magnoliopsida; Solanales; Solanaceae. The record is from RNAcentral.
CUUACACUUUUGUGCAUGUGAAUGAUAAUUGUGUGGCUAGUAGCCCAUUGAGUGUGAUUUAUAGCUUGCCUAUAUGUGAGUCUAUUGUUUCUUUGCCACUUGAUGAUGAUGUACUUGUUGUGAGUGUGGAUACACUAGUUGAUCCUAUUGAUGAUCGAAUCGACUCUUCUUGUAAGAUCGAUUUAUGUCCACCUAGUGUUAGAACCAUUGUGUUGAAUGAAAGUACAUCGU